This 1548-nucleotide ribosomal RNA is filed under the name human gut metagenome. Its description in RNAcentral is "bacterial LSU rRNA". It matches the Rfam family "Bacterial large subunit ribosomal RNA", at positions 1298 to 2925 of the family's 2925-position model. The record is from RNAcentral.
CGGAAUGAGUAGCGCGAAUGCAGUGAGAAUCUGCAUGGCCGAAAGCCUCAGGUUUUUGGAGGAAGGUUCGUCCGCUCCAAGUUAGUCGGGAGCUAAGGUGAGGCCGAAAGGCGUAGCCGAUGCACAGACGGUAGAGAUUCCGUCACCACCAAAAGAGUUAAGCACAGGGACACAUUUGAAGUCUCAGAGCCGGGUGUUGGUUCCGGUAGAGAUCGAGGGAAAUUAGUACCGAAGUCUGAGAUGGAAGAUGGCGAGAAAAGCUGUGUGUAUUUCUGAGGUGCCCGUACCGCAAACCGACACAGGUAGGUAGGAAGAAGAUUCUAAGGCCAACGGGAGAAGGGUUGUUAAGGAACUCGGCAAAUUGACCCCGUAACUUCGGGAGAAGGGGUGCUCCAGAGAUGGAGCCGCAGAGAAUCGGCCCAAGCAACUGUUUACCAAAAACACAGGUUUGUGCUAAAUCGAAAGAUGACGUAUACGAGCUGACGCCUGCCCGGUGCUGGAAGGUUAAGAGGAGAUGUGCAAGCAUUGAAUCGAAGCCCCAGUGAACGGCGGCCGUAACUAUAACGGUCCUAAGGUAGCGAAAUUCCUUGUCAGGUAAGUUCUGACCCGCACGAAAGGCGUAAUGAUUUGGGCACUGUCUCAACAGCCCGCCCGGCGAAAUUGUAGUACCGGUGAAGAUGCCGGUUACCCGCGACAAGACGGAAAGACCCCAUGGAGCUUUACUGUAGCCUAAUAUUGGGUUUCGAUGUUGCAUGCACAGGAUAGAUGGGACACUGGGAAACAGGAGCUUUGGCUUCUGCGGAGUGGCCGUUGGGAUACCAUCCUUGCGAUAUUGGAAUUCUAACCUGCGGCUCUGAAUCGAGUCGGGGGACAUUGUUAGGUGGGCAGUUUGACUGGGGCGGUCGCCUCCUAAAGAGUAACGGAGGCGUUCAAAGGUUCGCUCAGCUUGAACGGAAAUCAAGCAAAAGAGUGCAAACGCAGAAGCGAGCCUAACUGCGAGACUGACGGGUCGAGCAGUAACGAAAGUUGGAGUUAGUGAUCCGGUGGUAUGUGAGUGGAAAUGCCAUCGCUCAACGGAUAAAAGCUACCCUGGGGAUAACAGGCUGAUCUCCCCCAAGAGUCCACAUCGACGGGGAGGUUUGGCACCUCGAUGUCGGCUCAUCGCAUCCUGGGGCUGUAUUCGGUCCCAAGGGUUUGGCUGUUCGCCAAUUAAAGCGGUACGCGAGCUGGGUUCAGAACGUCGUGAGACAGUUCGGUCCCUAUCUGUCGUGGGCGCAGGAUAUUUGAUGGGAGCUGUUCCUAGUACGAGAGGACCGGAGCGGACGUACCUCUGGCGCACCAGUUGUUCUGCCAAGAGCAUAGCUGGGCAACUAUGUACGGAUCGGAUAAACGCUGAAAGCAUCUAAGCGUGAAGCCGACCCAAAGAUAAGAUAUCCCAUUGUUUCAAACAAGUAAGACCCCUUGAAGACUACAAGGUUGAUAGGCACGAUGUGUAAGUGGAGCGAUCCAUUCAGCAAGCGUGUACUAAUAGGUCGAGGGCUUGACCAC